Molecule: ribosomal RNA, 406 nt
Filed under: uncultured bacterium
Lineage: Bacteria
Description: partial 16S ribosomal RNA
Rfam family: Bacterial small subunit ribosomal RNA
Source: RNAcentral
AUUGCACGCUGGCGGCAGGCCUAACACAUGCAAGUCGAACGAGUGGCGGACGGGUGAGUAAUGUCUGGGAAACUGCCUGAUGGAGGGGGAUAACUACUGGAAACGGUAGCUAAUACCGCAUACCAUCGGAUGUGCCCAGAUGGGAUUAGCUAGUAGGUGGGGUAACGGCUCACCUAGGCGACGAUCCCUAGCUGGUCUGAGAGGAUGACCAGCCACACUGGAACGGAUACACGGUCCAGACUCCUACGGGAGGCAGCAGUGGGGAAUAUUGCACAAUGGGCGAAAGCCUGAGGCAGCAAUGCCGCGUGUAUGAAGAAGUCCUUCGGGGUGUAAAGUACUUGCAGCGGUGAGGCGUUACCCGCAGAAGAAGCACCGGCUAACUCCGUGCCAGCAGCCGCGGUAAUAC